Molecule: non-coding RNA, 1172 nt
Organism: Scleropages formosus (Asian bonytongue)
Lineage: Eukaryota; Metazoa; Chordata; Actinopteri; Osteoglossiformes; Osteoglossidae
Source: the annotation of a RefSeq genome assembly
ACACACCUCAUCGUUUUUGCCACGGUUUCCACUACUGUGGGCUACGGGAAAGUCUUUGGAUCCGGCACCAAACUCAUUGUCACAGAUACAGAAUCGAAGCCUCCUACGGUGACUACGUACAUUCCUUCAAAACCUCACGAAAAUAAGGCCUCCUUGCUGUGCGUGGCCACAGACAUGUAUCCAAAUGUGGUCAAAUUCAUAUGGGAGAAAAAGGACGGAAACGACUGGAAAAAUGUGCCAUCAAAUGAAAUGAGGACCCUGCAGCAGGAGGAGGAAAGUAGGGUCUCCAGCAUCAUGAUCAUCGACAAUGAGAAGGCCGAGCGGGAUACCUACUCCUGUAAGGUGCAACACGAGAAGGAUCCUAAUCCCAGCAGAGGAAAAAGAGUGCCAAAAAAAAGUGAUCUCAUUACCCCCAAUGACCCCAAUGUCCCCAAACCUUCCUGUGUGCCCAAGCUGAGUACACCUCCGAGCAACACAUCAGAUGAGAUCCGUUCCUUCAAGAACCCGAAUGAGCUGACCAACCUGAACAUGGUGACAUUCUCCUACUCCGUGAUGAUCCUCAAGAGCAUGAUGUACUUCGGCGUGGUGUCCAUGAUCAUGUACAAGAGGUCGGGCAGGUCGCUCUGCUGAAGAAAGGAGCCCGGCUCUUCACUCAUCAUCUCCUCGCACCUUAUUGUCAACGCAGGAGAACAGCACAUGCAUGGAGAACAUGUAAUAGCGAACACAGUGUUUUAUAGUAGCUCAUAAUUCUAAACCUCUGAUUGUACUUAUAGAUUUUUACAUUUUUUAUUGUUGCUAAAAGUAAACUGAGUGUUUUCAUGUCUGUGAAGUGAUAUACUGUACGUUUCACGAAAGUAUAUAAUUAUUAUUAUAACUGUAUAAUUCUUAUAAUUAUAUCAGCAGUUCUUAUAAUUAAGACAGUCAUCGUUAUAAUGAACACUGAUUUUUGUUUCCUUCGACUCUCACCGUUUUUGUACAUGAAUUCAUAUUAAUAUGAUAUUACGGCUGUAAUAAGGAGAAAAUUUCCAGAAGAAAAUAUUGUUUGGAUUUCUAUAGCGCUGUGAUUUAAUUGUCCUUUGUUGUUUGUACAUUAUUAUACCUGUCGUGUACCUUUCAGACUCCAUCAGUGGAAAUGUCUGUUUUAAAAGAAAUUAAAAGCGGUGGUUGCAAAA